Long non-coding RNA from Asparagus officinalis (garden asparagus), 5441 nucleotides. RefSeq lists it as uncharacterized. The record is from RefSeq and is a predicted model, not a curated record. The transcript is spliced from 3 exons. Lineage: Eukaryota; Viridiplantae; Streptophyta; Magnoliopsida; Asparagales; Asparagaceae.
UUGUUGGAUGAAAAUAAUAUUUUAUUGGAUGUUAUGGGUGAGUUUUAGGGAUGGAAAUGGAUGAAAUUGUAUUUGUUUGAGAUUUCCACUUUCAUUUCCAUUUCCAUGUUUUUAGGAAAUAACCAAACAGACCCUUAUCUGAAAAAUACAGUUGCAGUUAACUGAAAUCUUUUUUGCAACUGUACGGGCAUCUCAAUCAUGAUACUCCUUUGAUUUGAACUCACCUCUAAUUGAUUUGGUAAGGUAGCAAAUUGCUGCAACCAAUUGUUAGGGAUGGGGAUUUACGUGGAUCUUCGAGGACCUGAACCAAAGCUGACCCGUUUCACCUGAAUUUGAUUCAAUACAUGAACUGUUUCAAGAUUCAUGCUUUUGAUAAUCUAAGCCCAAUUACUUUGGCAGGGCAGCUGAGCUGCAGCCACUUGUAAUUAGGGGUUUAAAUGUCCGAGACGAUCUUAAGCGAGUUGGUCCAUCGCUCAAGGCUAUUCAUCAUACACUAAAUUUGCAAUGGAAAUAUAUUCUCCAAAAUAAAAUUGUAAUGAUUCAAAUAAUGGAUUUGAAGUAGAUUUUGCAAGAAAUGCUAGCAUUUGUUACACUUUCUUUUUGCAGCAAACCAAACGGUCCCUACAUUGUUUAGAUGUCCAAUCUUUGCUGCUGGAGCUCUCCAACGAGGCGAUGAUGAUUUGCCGCCAAUCACCUCAAUGGUUUUGGUUAUUGGUUAACAUGUUAGCCUCAAGUCCCCAUAAAAUUUGAGGGUCAAAUAAGCAAUUUCAAUGAUUUGAGGGACUAAUAUGGAAUUUUUGAAGAUUUAGGGGACUAAUAUCUAAAAAUCCCUUCUUAGUUAUAUUUGUAAAAGUAAUUUGAUAAAAAGGGAUGAUGAUGAUGAAGGGUUUGUAGUGUUAAAGUUGUUUUUUUCAAUCCUCUCUAUUAGCAUUAUUCUUAUGAAUUUCUUAUGUAUCUUUCUUUCACUGCUAUGGCGAGGCAACACUGGAGGUCAGCUAUAUGCUAGGCAGCCGUUGCAGCCAUUCCUAGUACUUAACAAAGUAGGACCUCUUUGUGGGAUGAUUCCAUGUCCAUAAUUUUUUGAACUUAUUUUCCAACUACAACCUCAUAAAUGUACAUGUUAAUGAUGAAAUGGCAAAUCUGAGCCUUCUAUACUUUGAGCUCCCGUCAUUUCUUCAUGGUUAAUAUAACUCAUGUUAGAUGGGCGAGGAAUUUUGUCGAGGAUUGGCCCAAAGCGUGGGAGUUGAUGAUUUGGGUGAUGGGGAAUGAGAAGAGGUUUAACUUGGCUUGGAGUCUGGUGCAUAGGAUGCAUAGGAAGUCGCUGCUGACCGCGGAGACUAUGGUAGUUUUGAUGGACAGGUGGGUUCCUGCGGUUUAGGUGUUUGUGAUUUUGCCUCUUUUUUUAAUAAAGAUGUGAACUUUUCUGUAGGAUGCUGCACUUGAACUGCUUUUUCAUGUCAUGGAUAUUUUAUAAUUAGAAACGUGCGUAGCAUAUGCUUAUAAACAUUGCUUGUGACAUGUAUUGCUUUUUUGAGAUAUGAUCUUUUUUUUCAUUCCAAUAUUGAAGGUCAAUAAUAGACAAGGGUAUUGUGAUUAUCUUCUAUCAUGUGCAUAUAUUUUUAACUUUCAGUAUAACUAUAAUUAAUGAGAUGUGUAUUCAAAAUUGAUGUUUGAUAUGUAUGUUGGUAUUUUAUUAUAAUAACUGAAAAAUGAUUUAUUUUGUUAUACUUGAAGGAAUAAUUUUGAUGAGCAGUUCAUAUCCUCAUUUUCUUGUAUUUGUCAUGUUGGCACGCUUAUUAUGUUUCAAAUAUCUGUUUCAAAUAUCUAGGGUUUUGGAUUUGGUUAGCUUAUGUUUUUUUUUUGGGUUUUGUUGAGAUCUGGAGGUUGAUUGAGCCGAUUGAGACGUAUAAAGGGGAGGAUUCGCUUCAGCCGUGGAUUGAGUGAGCAUUUUGUUUGGAGUUAUGUUUUUUUAAUAGUUCUUUCAGGGCUGUAAACUAACAUUUUGAUUUAGGGGCCUUUUCUUGUUGUUGGUGGAUGAACCAGGCAGUUAUAAUGUUCUGAUGAAAAGAAACUUGAGAAAAAAAUGAUUUUUUUUUGCUAAAAUUAUAUCAUUUGUUUGUAUAAAUAGAGAAGUUUUUCAAUUGAGAAAAUUCAAAAUAUAACUUUUAUCACUAUAUAUGAGCUUGGAAUGUGACUAAUUUGUGAUCCUCCUUUUCCUCCACUUCUAUUUGCUAAUUAAACUGGGUCUUAAUAUGGGAAGAUUUUGUGUCAUAUUAUAUAUCAUGCUAAAUUGAUUGAAAAAUCUGAUCUUGCAAUGUCAGUUCUAAUUUAUUUCCAUAUAUUUCUUGCACAUUGUUUGAGAAUCAGGUUCAUGUGAACUUCGAUAACUCUUUCUUUUCCCUCCAUUUGGACAGUGCAAUAUUGUCUCUUUGCCAUCCAAAAUGAACCAAAAGGACGAGCAAGAAGAGGGCAUAGGAGAUUGGAUAUUAGAGAUAUCGCUGUACGACAUUGUAUUUACUGAAAUAUAUUUUGCCUUUAUGAAUUCCUGCAAACAAAUUGGACAGGAAUACCUUAGAUUUUUGUUGUUUCUGUUAAUGUACGUAUUCUUCUCAUAGUACUUGAUUACACUGUUCGAUAUUCUUGGUAUUUCAAUUUUUCUAUUGCACCACUAGUGGAGUGACUUGUCCAAACAUAUAAAGGUUGCUGCUUGCUUUCUUUAAGCAUUGACUUUUUUUGUUCGUGCAAAUAUUAUUGAAUCCAUAUUUGAAUAGAUAUUUGUUUAUGAGCAUGAAUCUGAAUUAGUUUGAGUGGAUCAUGAUUAGUGUAGAAGUUUAUGCUAUUAUUAAAUUCUGAUGUGAACUACAAAGGAGCUCCUCUUCUUCGUUUAAUAUUAUUUAGGCUUCAUGUUUGCAGAUGAUCAUGUAAUUGGGAUUGAAAGUAAGAGUGAUGCCAUCAAAAGAACUUGCCCAAACUACAAGAGGAACUGAUUGUUGCUGGCGAUGAAAAUGGAGAAAAUAGACGCGGAGGUAAAUAGACUGACCUUUUUUUGGAAUUAUUUAGUCUCUUUGUUUUUUGGUAGUCUUGAGUUAAUUUGUAUAUUUGUGAAAGUUCUUUGUUUCUCAUGCAAUUGUUGAUGCACCUGAGGUAAGUUCAUUUAAGAUUGCUCUUUUAGUUCAAAUUUGAUGUGAAAUGUAGUUGUAAUGGUAUAAAAAGCUAUCCUUGAAUUAUUAUUUUCAAGUUUAUCAAUUUUACUGGUAAAACUUUUCUACUCCUAGCCACUGUGAAUUUUUCGAGUGAUCGGGUGAAAUCUAGUGAUGGUGACAUAAGGAAUCUGCACAAACAACAAGAGGAACUUAUAAGCCUGAUCGAAGCAGACAGGCAACUUAUGUAUGCAGAGAAAGAGAUCAAUCAUGCCCCAAUGGUUUUAGAUAACUCUGAUCAUUAUGCUCUAUUGUUUCGAAAUACUUCGGUUUUUAAGAGGUAAGACAACUAAAUAUGGCUUUCUUGUGUCCCCCAUAUUAUUUUGUUCUUGUUGUGUUGUUAUUAUUUGAUGUGAAUGAUUAUUUUGUUUUAUGAUUUGAGUAGGGAUAUGCAGAGUUUUUCCAUAUAACAGAGUGUUUAAUGAUUUAAUAAUUUCAUUAUGGAUCUUUCGUACUCCAAUAUAUAUUUAUUUGGCUUCAUUUUUCUCUCUCUUUCCUCUUUUAAGAAAAUUAGAGAUUCGAGUAUUCUUUAAUUUUAUGAUACAGAAAUCAAGAAAUUUUUGUCCAUCCUCACUAUGUGAAAUUAUGAUGUUCUUAUGCAUAGUCCAUUUGGCCAUGAGUGAUAAAAUUCUACCAUUUUUUUGCAGCUAAUUGUCUCCAAUCUGAAUGGAUUUAGUUGCUAAUACUUAUGGAGUGCCCUAUAGAAUUUAGAGCUUUUUUCCUUCUCCUUUUUUUCUUCGACUUCUGUUGCAAUUUUUUCCCAAAAAAAAUCAUUUUAAUUAUGUCGUUUUUUUUCGUUAAUGCUUAGCAUCUUGUGUUAUUAUGAUUUAAGUUCUUUAAGAUUGUUGAUAUGUUUAUGAAGUGUGUAUGAAUGUUUUCGCGUUUUGUCCUAACUUAUUCUUCAUAUGACAAGCAUUAAGUGUCAAUUUUUUUAUGGAUUUUGACUAUUGACAAGAACAAAGAAGCUUGGUGGUGUUUGUGAUCAAAUCCCAACCUGGAGCUUGAAGUAGAUUAUGUGUUUCACGAAGAUCAAGUAGCUGCAUUCACAAUAUGCUUUUGAUGCAACUUAGCUUUGACAUUUUGCCUUUGCACAGCUGCCCUUAAAUUAUUGGAGCCUUGCUCGUCCUCUUUAUUUUGUCCAUCAAUAUCAUAAUUAGAUUUUGUUUUUAUCAUGUAGAUAAUUUUGUGAUGAAAUCUGAGCCUAACCAUUAAUAAAGAUAUGCAGAGUUGUUUUGAGAUACUGUCUUUGACUGGAUCAUUCGCAAUAACUAAAUACAAUGGUGUGCAUAGUCGAGUAGGUGGGAUCAUUGCCUCACUAGCUAGCCUUCUGAUGGCCUUGUGCUUGGUUUGUUUCUUGCAUCACUUCCUAUCCAGGUAAAUUAAACUCAUUCUUAUCCCUUGAAUUUUUAUGUUAACAUAUAAAGGUUGCUGCUUGCUUUCUUUAAGCAUUGACUUUUUUUGUUCAUGCAAAUAUUAUUGUAUCCAUAUUUGAAUAGAUAUUUGUUUAUGAACAUGAAUCUGAAUUAGUUUGCGUGGAUCAUGGUUAGUGUAGAAGUUUAUGCUAUUAUUGAAUUCUGAUGUGAACUACAAAGGAGCUCCUCUUCUUCGUUUAAUAUUAUUUGGUCUUCAUGUUUGCAGAUGAUCAUUUAGUUGGGAUCGAAAGUAAGAGUGAUGCCAUCAUCUCUGUUACUAGAUUUCUCCAGAAUGUUUUAAUUGUUAGUGCAGAAUCUUUGAGUAUGCAUUUUUCAUUCUCUACGCGUUAGGCGGGGUUUUUUUUGCUAGUAUUUAAUAUAUUUGCAGGUGAGGAUUCUGGGACUCUUCCCUACAAAAGCACAAACAAUAGGCUCCUAUUGUUGCAAAAUUUUCUGCGAUAGAAGAUUUUUUUUAAUUGAGCUACUUUUCAUUCCCUUUGGAGUCGAUGCAGAUUUAACAUGGGAUCCAACCAAGGAUUCCUGCUAUCAAUUUUUUAUGAAGGCAAAUUCACUUGGAGAUUGCACAAAUCAAGGAUCGGAUUCAAAAAGAUUCAAGUAUUGUGAAGAUUUAAAAUGUUAUUAAGAGUUUGAAACAAUUUUGAUUCGUUUUUAGUGAGAUAUGUAUGUUUUAGUUUUAUUUUAAAUAUUUUUUAUGGGUAUGUUAUUUUGUUAGUUUUAUUGUUCAGAUUAUUGUAAGCCUUUAGUAUAUAAGGGGCUGUUUGGUUCGUUAUUAUAAGGGGUGGAAAACUCAGAAAACCUCUCAACAUCA